Molecule: ribosomal RNA, 437 nt
Filed under: uncultured Oscillospiraceae bacterium
Lineage: Bacteria; Bacillati; Bacillota; Clostridia; Eubacteriales; Oscillospiraceae
Description: bacterial SSU rRNA
Rfam family: Bacterial small subunit ribosomal RNA
Source: RNAcentral
ACGGGAGGCAGCAGUGGGGAAUAUUGGGCAAUGGGCGAAAGCCUGACCCAGCGACGCCGCGUGAGGGAAGAAGCUCUUCGGAUUGUAAACCUUAGUCAACAGGGACGAAGCAAGUGACGGUACCUGUGGAGGAAGCCACGGCUAACUACGUGCCAGCAGCCGCGGUAAUACGUAGGUGGCGAGCGUUAUCCGGAUUUACUGGGUGUAAAGGGUGGGUAGGCGGGCCUGCAAGUCAGAUGUGAAAACUAUGGGCCUAACCCAUAGCCUGCAUUUGAAACUGUGGGUCUUGAGAGUGGUAGAGGUAAAUGGAAUUCCCGGUGUAGCAGUGAAAUGCGUAGAUAUCGGGAGGAACACCAGUUGCGAAGGCGAUUUACUGGACCACAACUGACGCUGAGACACGAAAGCGUGGGGAGCAAACAGGAUUAGAUACCCUGGUA